This 379-nucleotide unclassified non-coding RNA is filed under the name uncultured Ustilago. Its description in RNAcentral is "sequence contains ITS2". The record is from RNAcentral. Lineage: Eukaryota; Fungi; Basidiomycota; Ustilaginomycetes; Ustilaginales; Ustilaginaceae.
AACGCACCUUGCGCUCCCGGCAGAUCUAAUCUGGGGAGCAUGCCUGUUUGAGGGCCGCGAAUUGUUUCGAACGACAACUUUUUUCUUUUGAAGAGUUGGCGGAUCGGUAUUGAGGGUUUUGCCAUUCACCGUGGCUCCCUCGAAAUGCAUUAGCGCAUCCAUUUGAUAGGCAAGACGGACGAAAGCUCGAUUUUCGCUCUCUCUUCCCUGCCGGGUUUUGAUAAUAUCAGGACUUCGGAGAGGUUGAGAUGGGUAAGAGCUGGACGCAACGGCUUGCUGUUUGGUGUGCUUCUGAAACCCGCCCAUAUCGAGCUUUGCCUCGGAAGGGAUUUUAAUAAUUCAUCGGCCUCAGAUUGGUAGGACUACCCGCUGAACUUAA